UUCCAUCCUUUUUUUGACCUUCCUGUUAUGCGCAUUUUCUUUCUUCCUUUUGAUUUUCUGGUUAGGAUUGCUUUCAUAAGUGUACUUUGAUGGAUUUUGAUCUGAAAUUUCCAAUUCUCUGCUGACAUUGGGUUUAAGGCCGUUCUCUUGCAGAAAUUUAAACUUCUGCUGGUGGGGUAUGUUCUUUCUUUUUCUUCAGUUUUUUGGUUUUGGUAUAUUUUACUUUGAUUUUCUUGGUAAACGAGAGAAUUUUAUGAAUUAGAAUAUUAAGUUUUUAGUCUACAGCUAGGAUUUGUAUUUUGUAAUGUACAGGAAGGGACUAUUAAGUAUUAUUUUGUUAUUUUCUUAUGGUAAAGCUUCGUAUUUGUUUUUUUUUAUCCCCUUGUUGAUAUUCAUAACUAAUUCUUUGCUUAUGCUGAAGGAGAGUGAAUGAUUGUAAUAUUAGCUCGCUAACUGGUUUCCUCUACAUAUAAAAUGGAGAAGCUCAAAGAUGAUUGAGAUUUGUUUUCACAAAAACAUAAAUUAUAGAUGUCUUUUAUUUCCACACUGCAUUCUGUUGUAGACUUGUUUAGUUAUUAUACUGUUUGCAAUGAGAUUGGAGUAAAGUGCUUGCAGAGAGUGGAGGCUGGUAUUGGAGGAGUUUUUUCACUUGUGGUUAAUGGAGCCCUUGUCUUGUAAUGCAUCAGUAGAGUUGAUGACCCAGUAAACUAAAUAUAGUUCUUUUAGUUUCUUUUCUAGAAGAGGCUCAAUGUGCUCAUCUUGCUUUUUCUUCUGGAAAAGGUAGGCGGUAAUUCUAGGACUCCGCCGAUUACUAUAAUUCAUAUAGGUAGAAAUAUUUAAAAGUAGAAAAAUCCAACAUUAGGAAUUGCAUAGGAAGCCUCCCUAAAAGCAGACAAUUAUAGAGUGAGCACUGAGAGUUUUGAGAAGGGGAACUGAAACUUCUAGGCAGGAAGCUGUGUUGUAAUAUAUCUUUUGCCGGAAUUUCUCAAGCUAUUCCAAUAAAUAAGUAAAGAAAUUUCUUUGCUUUUUCUUUGGGUCACCCUGUUUUAGACUAAAGAAUUUUUUUUCUUUUUCCUUUGUUCCAUUAGUUCCAACCAAAUGCAAAAGCUUUGGUACCAGCAUUUACCUUUACUUGCUCGUUCAUAGUUACAAUCUAGAGUUAUAUUCAUAAAUGUGUACUCUCAGAACAAUUAUUGGCAUAUACUUUGCUGUUAUAUAUCCUAUGUACUGUAUUGUGUAUGCUGAUGGAUCGAACAAAUAGACAACAUUAUGUUUUUCAUAUGUGGAUGUGAUAUAUUGCUUUUCCUGGAAGAUAAAUUUUGAGUCAAUGGAGGCUGUGGAAUUUUCAUUGCCCUUCCAGUAAAUAGAUGUCAUCUUAAUGAGUUUUUAUUUUAACAUGGGUGGAAGUGGUUGUGAAUCUACUUCCAAUAUGUUGCACUAUUCAUGAUGGUAUGGUAUCUCUCUCUCUCUCUCUGCCCCCCCCUCUGUGUGUGUGUGUGUAUCCGUGCAUGCAUAUUAUUGGGUUCAAGUUGCUGAGUGAUUUCUGUUGAUGGAGUGUGAUUUUUAUUUUAUAGUAAUCAGAAAUUAUGCCAUGCAUCUUGGACUGGAAGAAGAACGCAAGAAAUAUUCCAUCGAAAAGCCAAGAAAAUAAAUGUUAGCUAGGAGGUCAAAUUGCAUAAGUCAUAAUUUUAUAUAAAUGCACGCACAUGGGCAGACAUAGGGGUAUACAAGCAGGGGCCACAUCUCCUUCAAGGUUUCGGAAUUUUUCUAUUAGAGAUUGUGUAGUCAUGCUUGACAAUAUCAGUGUCUGCAAUUCAAACUGCUCCUACCCCUUUGGCAACCCAAAACUAUAUUCAUCAUCCAUGACCCUCCUUGGAUUCUUGUAAUCUCUCUACAGA
RNAcentral lists this long non-coding RNA (1898 nucleotides) under Elaeis guineensis (African oil palm). RNAcentral describes it as "long non-coding RNA (EGUI_LNC025875)". The record is from RNAcentral. Lineage: Eukaryota; Viridiplantae; Streptophyta; Magnoliopsida; Arecales; Arecaceae.